UGGGGAAUCUUGCACAAUGGGCGAAAGCCUGAUGCAGCGACGCCGCGUGGGGGAUGAAGCAUUUCGGUGUGUAAACCCCUUUCGAUCCGGACGAAACCCCGCAAGGGAUUGACGGUACGGAUAUAAGAAGCCCCGGCUAACUACGUGCCAGCAGCCGCGGUAAUACGUAGGGGGCCAGCGUUGUUCGGAAUUACUGGGUGUAAAGGGUUCGUAGGCGGUGCGGCAAGUUGGGAGUGAAAUCUCUGGGCUUAACCCAGAGGCUGCUCUCAAAACUGCUGUGCUUGAGUGUGGGAGAGGCGCGUGGAAUUGCAGGUGUAGCGGUGAAAUGCGUAGAUAUCUGCAGGAACACCCGUGGCGAAAGCGGCGCGCUGGACCACUACUGACGCUGAGGAACGAAAGCUAGGGGAGCAAACAGGAUUAGAUACCCCGGUAGUCC
Molecule: ribosomal RNA, 436 nt
Filed under: uncultured bacterium
Lineage: Bacteria
Description: bacterial SSU rRNA
Rfam family: Bacterial small subunit ribosomal RNA
Source: RNAcentral